RNAcentral lists this ribosomal RNA (253 nucleotides) under uncultured bacterium. Its description in RNAcentral is "partial 16S ribosomal RNA". It matches the Rfam family "Bacterial small subunit ribosomal RNA", at positions 524 to 776 of the family's 1533-position model. The record is from RNAcentral.
UACGUAGGGGGCAAGCGUUGUCCGGAUUUAUUGGGCGUAAAGAGCUCGUAGGCGGUUUGUUGCGUCGGCUGUGAAAACCUGAGGCUCAACCUCAGGCCUGCAGUCGAUACGAGCAGACUAGAGUGUUGCAGGGGAGACUGGAAUUCCUGGUGUAGCGGUGAAAUGCGCAGAUAUCAGGAGGAACACCGGUGGCGAAGGCGGGUCUCUGGGCAACAACUGACGCUGAUGCGCGAAAGCUAGGGGAGCGAACGGG